GACGAACGCUGGCGGCGUGCUUAACACAUGCAAGUCGAACGGAAAGGCCCUGCUUUUGUGGGGUGCUCGAGUGGCGAACGGGUGAGUAACACGUGAGUAACCUGCCCUUGACUUUGGGAUAACUUCAGGAAACUGGGGCUAAUACCGGAUAGGAGCUCCCGCUGCAUGGAGGGGGUUGGAAAGUUUCGGCGGUUGGGGAUGGACUCGCGGCUUAUCAGCUUGUUGGUGGGGGAGUGGCUUACCAAGGCUUUGACGGGUAGCCGGCCUGGGAGGGUGACCGGCCACAUUGGGACUGAGAGACGGCGCAGACUCCUACGGGAGGCAGCAGUGGGGAAUAUUGCACAAUGGGCGGGAGCCUGAUGCAGCAACGCCGCGUGCGGGAUGACGGCCUUCGGGUUGUAAACCGCUUUCGCCUGUGACGAAGCGUGAGUGACGGUAAUGGGUAAAGAAGCACCGGCUAACUACGUG
Molecule: ribosomal RNA, 468 nt
Filed under: uncultured bacterium
Lineage: Bacteria
Description: partial 16S ribosomal RNA
Rfam family: Bacterial small subunit ribosomal RNA
Source: RNAcentral